ACAAGUGGAAAGAACUGCAGCCGGAGCCCUUCGCUGCCUUGCUCUGGACAUAAGCAGCCCUUUUCAUCACGGAAGGGAAGCCCGGAGAUGAGAGGGUUCCAGGGUUCCGAAGAGCCAAGAGCCAGCACAGAAGAGGCUGAAGAGGAGCAAGGGCAGGGCAGGGACCUCCAGCGGCAAUCCGAGAGCCCCAGACCGCCCCCCUCCUGGGACAAGGCAGCCCCUUCGCCAGGACUCUGAUUCUCUGCCCCAGCCCUGGCCCAGCUGGUCUGCGUCCGUCGUCCUUGAGAGCUGCAGCCAACAUGACCACGCCUCUGCUCUGCACAGUGGGCACUGUCGCCAGUGAGGGCAGAACACACACACAGUGGAUGUUUUCUUGCCUUCUUUGAGAACAUGUCUUGGAUGCUACCAUUUCUGGAAGGCCCCUCAACAACAACAAUGGUGAAGAUGGCUUGUAUUGGGCGAGUGUUCUAGAAGUUUACAACAGGGCUACUACCCUCUUCUUGAGUACAGGCUGCAGGGACCACACCUACAGGGAAGGCAACAAGGAAUGGAGAUGGAGCCCUGCUGAGGCCUAAGAUGUGCAUGAGUCCCCCCGAGCUUCCCCGAAGUCUGCCUCGCUUAGACUGAAGCUGAGGCACGGAUAGGGCAGCUGUCCACAGCAUCAUGAGGAAGAUCACUGCCUCCA
Molecule: long non-coding RNA, 685 nt
Organism: Jaculus jaculus (lesser Egyptian jerboa)
Lineage: Eukaryota; Metazoa; Chordata; Mammalia; Rodentia; Dipodidae
Exons: 3
Source: RefSeq, a predicted model, not a curated record